RNAcentral lists this unclassified non-coding RNA (1384 nucleotides) under Hevea brasiliensis (rubber tree). Lineage: Eukaryota; Viridiplantae; Streptophyta; Magnoliopsida; Malpighiales; Euphorbiaceae. The record is from RNAcentral.
UUCUAAAUUGAGAACAGAAGGCAAGUAUCUUGGAAGUUGAUGGUAAGUAGAUUGAUAUUACAUUGCCCGAUAACAAUAUCAUUGUACACUUGAAAUUAGUUUACUUUAUUACAAGGCUUCUUCGCCUGAAAGUGCAUCUUUCAAAAUAACUUAGAAAAUAUUACAGAUCCAGCUAAACAUUGUCAGUAAAUCUAGAAAUACUAAUAAUGCAAUCACAAUUACAAAGUUCUAGGAGGCUUUCAGCAUAGAAGUUGAACUGCCCCAGCAAUGAAACUAGGAAGGAUAACUUGCCUAUGGCAUCUGUCACCGUGUUGAAUGCAUGUCUAUUGGUUCAACAAUUCGAGAUCUCCGUCUCCUCUUACCCUCAGGAGUGCACCUCACACCGCUGACAUUCCCAAGCUUCACAGAAAACUUGCAGUUUACUUGUGAUGGCAGCACUGUUGAUUCACCUUGUGAAGAUGAAUUGACACGUGAGGAUGUCAGUCUGCCAAACUUGUCUCCUGAACCCUUGCCACUUCCUUUGGUUAUCGGUGAUUUAACUCUCUUUUUUGACAAUCGAAAUUGAUUCUGCUCCCGUCUCUUGUCAUGGCUAAGAAGCCGGAUAUGGAAUGGAUUGGCAGCUGUAUAACAGAUGGAAUUACCACUUGCUCCACUUCUCUGCAAAUCAAUGUCUCCAUUGUUCACCUGAAAAUCAGAAAAUUAAUCGACAUAGUACUCUUCAUAAUGCAAAUAUGUAUCCAUUUCACAGUGAACGACUUCACCAAUUGAAUCACUUUAAUCAUAGUGCUCAAAUUUUAGAUUGUAAUAGACAAAGUUGAUGAUGUUACACAACAAAAUUUUACCACGUUCUAGAAGCAGAGUUAAGGACCAUUCCCUGGUGCACUUUAGUGCAAACUUAAGCACUGAGAGUAGAUACUUCAAGCAAAAUUGCUGAAGACAAUCGCCUCUCUUAAAACCUUUUCUACUUUAAGCUAAACCAACCACGCAGGGCAGGGACUAAAAUGUAACAAAGGAUUUACCAGCUGAAGAAGUGCAGAGAAUGUUCGAGCCACAUCAUGCUUUUCUUGCCCUUCCACAACAUCAACAAAGGACAUGACAUUAUCACUGUCUGCUUCAAGAGAUAAUUUGUCAAGAAUUCUUUCACCGUAGGCAUGAAUAUCAAAUGAAGGGCGUGCAUCCUGUUCUUCCAAGUUGCGCUCAAUUUUCUGUUUCCACAAUGAAACUCGAGUAGCCAAUUCAGUCUGUUUCUCAGUUUCAGCUAUGUUAGCAAGAAGAGCAUCCUGCAUGACAAAAGGUCAGUGAUCUUCCACUAUCCCAUAAUAACCAAGCAAAAUAAGAGCAGUAUGAAUGGACUUUGGGAAGGUAAUUAAAGUAAUAGAUUAGA